Sinocyclocheilus rhinocerous is the source of this 441-nucleotide long non-coding RNA. RefSeq lists it as uncharacterized. The transcript has 2 exons. NCBI's taxonomy places the organism in Eukaryota, Metazoa, Chordata, Actinopteri, Cypriniformes, Cyprinidae. The record is from RefSeq and is a predicted model, not a curated record.
AUUCCAAUGAAUAUAGGAAAACUGAUCUUGCUAGGAAACGCUAUUGUUUAUUAAGGUUAUAUAUUUGCAUUAGACGUCCACAGCAAUAAAAUGACACCCUGUUUUUAAAAACUUUAUUCAAUUCAGGCGCAAUCGAAAUGCGAAAUUGUUUACAAAUACAAGAAUGUGUAGGGUGUCAAAAUUGUGAAGGACUCAAAACAGCCUCUUCUGAAGACCUCAGUAACUCCAUGCUGAGAAACACGUGCAAACAUACAAAAAUGAGAGCAACAGUAGAGUGAUUCUAUAAACACAUUUUUCUAAACCGAACAAACCUGUUUGGAGUUGCUGCGGAAGUAAGCUGUGAUCAUGAACUUUUUUUUUUUUGUGUGUGAUUUGACAAGAUGUGAUGUGUUGCAGUUAAAACAGCAAGUGAACAUUUUUUGAGUGCACUGAACCCAGACA